GAUCCCCGUCCCACCUUCUCCUGUAGCUUCAGCCCAGGCCUUCCCCGACACCGGGCCUUGCGCACAGCCCCCAUCCAGCCCCGUGUCUGGGGUGAGCAUAGGUGGGGAGGGCCCCAAGCUCACGUGAGCACGUUCUGGAAGUCUGACCCUUAGGGAAAGAGGGAGUCAAGCCCAUGGCCACUGGGAUCACUCACAAGUGUAACUCUCCACCUCAAAACCCUUCCAACUCCCAGAGCCUGUGCCUCUGGAGGAGGUCCAAUUGGUGGUGGAGCCAGAAGGUGGAGCAGUAGCUCCUGGUGGAACCGUAACCCUGACCUGUGAAGUCCCUGCCCAGCCCUCUCCUCAAAUCCACUGGAUGAAGGAUGGUGUGCCCUUGCCCCUUCCCCCCAGCCCUGUGCUGAUCCUCCCUGAGAUAGGGCCUCAGGACCAGGGAACCUACAGCUGUGUGGCCACCCAUCCCAGCCACGGGCCCCAGGAAAGCCGUGCUGUCAGCAUCAGCAUCAUCGAACCAGGCAAGGAGGGGCCAACUGCAGGCUCUGUGGGAGGAUCAGGGCUGGGAACUCUAGCCCUGGCCCUGGGGAUCCUGGGAGGCCUGGGGACAGCCACCCUGGUCAUUGGGGUCAUCUUGUGGCAAAGGCGGCAACGCCAAGGAGAGGAGAGGAAGGCCCCAGAAAACCAGGAGGAAGAGGAGGAGCGUGCAGAACUGAAUCAGUCGGAGGAACCUGAGGCAGGCGAGAGUAGUACUGGAGGGCCUUGAGGGGCCCACAGACAGAUCCUAUCCAUCAGCUCCCUUUUCUUUUUCCCUUGAAUUGUUCUGGCCUCAGACCAACUCUCUCCUGUAUAAUCUCUCUCCUGUAUAACCCCACCUUGCCAAGCUUUCUUCUACAACCAGAGCCCCCCACAAUGAUGAUUAAACACCUGACACAUCUUGC
This 932-nucleotide small RNA is filed under the name Pan troglodytes (chimpanzee). RNAcentral's name for it is "retained intron". Lineage: Eukaryota; Metazoa; Chordata; Mammalia; Primates; Hominidae. The record is from RNAcentral.